RNAcentral lists this transfer RNA (65 nucleotides) under Dipodomys ordii (Ord's kangaroo rat). It matches the Rfam family "tRNA". From Rfam's summary of the family: Transfer RNA (tRNA) molecules are approximately 80 nucleotides in length. Their secondary structure includes four short double-helical elements and three loops (D, anti-codon, and T loops). The record is from Rfam by way of RNAcentral. Lineage: Eukaryota; Metazoa; Chordata; Mammalia; Rodentia; Heteromyidae.
GGUGGCUCAGGGGUAGAGCGCUUGCCUUGCAUGCAUGAGGCCCUGGGUUUGAUUCCCCAGCACCA